GUCAGAAUGGCCGAGUGGUCUAAGGCGCCAGACUCAAGUUCUUGUCUCCAGAUGGAGGCGUGGGUUCAAAUCCCACUUCUGACA
RNAcentral lists this transfer RNA (84 nucleotides) under Danio rerio (zebrafish). Its description in RNAcentral is "tRNA-Leu (CAA) (tRNA-Leu-CAA-46 1 to 6)". It matches the Rfam family "tRNA". Rfam says of the family: Transfer RNA (tRNA) molecules are approximately 80 nucleotides in length. The record is from RNAcentral. Lineage: Eukaryota; Metazoa; Chordata; Actinopteri; Cypriniformes; Danionidae.